Molecule: long non-coding RNA, 288 nt
Filed under: Mytilus galloprovincialis (Mediterranean mussel)
Lineage: Eukaryota; Metazoa; Mollusca; Bivalvia; Mytilida; Mytilidae
Source: RNAcentral
GUCGGCUGUAAACCCCUAUCGGACCAUCAAACAGACUCUAGAGAUAAGGGAACGGCUAUUUCACUUCAAGGGGGAGGAUAUGUUUUUUUCCUGUGAACAAAUAUUUUGGUCCCUAAUUUGAUGAAAAGAAUAUAUGUUUAAGCAGAGCACAAAAAAACAUACCCCUUUUGAAUUUAAUGGUUACUUCCUAAAGGGAAACAGGCAGCAGUAAAGACAACAUAGAAAACAAUAAGGUGCUAAAAUAUAAAGAAAAGAAAUAAAAGGAGUGCGGAAUUAUAAAGAAAAUAG